UUCAGCAUCAACAUGGGUUUAGGUUAAGUUUUUAAAAUUUUUUCUUAUGUAAAUAUUUUUACAUUAAAUCAUAAAAUCUUUUUAGAUCAAAUCUAAAUCUUUUAUGAUUUCAAAUCUUAUUAAAUUAAUUUUAAUCAUUAAGAUUAGAUGUUAUUACCUUUCUUACAACUUGUAUCAUAUACAAUAAAUCAUAGGAUUUCAAGAUCUUGAGUUUUGCAGAAAAGUAAGUUUUUUUCUUUCACAUUCUUCUUCAUGGGACCUCACAGUGGCACCCCUACAUGCCAUAAGAGCACCCUAUUGAAUGAGAGAAGAGGAUAAUAUAACCCUACUUGCUCCUAUG
Molecule: long non-coding RNA, 340 nt
Filed under: Elaeis guineensis (African oil palm)
Lineage: Eukaryota; Viridiplantae; Streptophyta; Magnoliopsida; Arecales; Arecaceae
Description: long non-coding RNA (EGUI_LNC020492)
Source: RNAcentral